UAUUUGGAAGGGUUGAGGAAGGGAAAAAAACGAAUGGGGAAAAAUUAUGUAUGAUACAAGUUAAAAAUGCUGACAAGUAUAUGAUUCAGAGAGAUGACGAUUUACAAGAUGGUUCCCAAUACCCAUANNNNNNNNNNNNAUAGGCAAUGAGGCCCAGCCUUGCUCUGGGACGGCUCAUAAGAACUCGACCACCAGAUACCCAUAUUCCAUCAAUUCGAUCUGCAAGUGACUUUCCUUGCUUGGGAAUGAGACCUGAUGUGUUAAGAGACUUGAACGCAUGACCUUUUUCCUCAUCAGUUUCCUCAUUGUUGAUCAGACUCCCAGAUUCUGAAUCAAUACUGAGAACAAG
This 349-nucleotide unclassified non-coding RNA is filed under the name Hevea brasiliensis (rubber tree). Lineage: Eukaryota; Viridiplantae; Streptophyta; Magnoliopsida; Malpighiales; Euphorbiaceae. The record is from RNAcentral.